GCGGCGAGAAAAAAAAAAGAGCGAUAGAAUUACACCAUUACACCAUUACCAUUACACCUACCAUUACAUCAUUACACCAUUACCAUUACACUAUUACACCAUUACUAUUACAUCAUUACACCAUUACCAUUACAUCAUUACCAUUACAUCAUUACACCAUUACACCAUUUACGCCACUACAUCAUUACACCAUUUGCCGAUGGAGAAGAACACGCGUGGGUCUUUUUCAUUUUCUUCUUCUUUUUCAUUUUCUUCUUCUUCCUCCUGCGGAGGACCUCGAC
Molecule: long non-coding RNA, 281 nt
Filed under: Ananas comosus (pineapple)
Lineage: Eukaryota; Viridiplantae; Streptophyta; Magnoliopsida; Poales; Bromeliaceae
Description: long non-coding RNA (ACOM_LNC002982)
Source: RNAcentral